RNAcentral lists this ribosomal RNA (452 nucleotides) under uncultured bacterium. RNAcentral's name for it is "bacterial SSU rRNA". It matches the Rfam family "Bacterial small subunit ribosomal RNA", at positions 1052 to 1504 of the family's 1533-position model. The record is from RNAcentral.
UCGUCAGCUCGUGUCGUGAGAUGUUGGGUUAAGUCCCGCAACGAGCGCAACCCUUGCCUUUAGUUGCCAGCAUUAAGUUGGGCACUCUAGAGGGACUGCCAGGGAUAACCUGGAGGAAGGUGGGGAUGACGUCAAAUCAUCAUGCCCCUUAUGCUUAGGGCUACACACGUGCUACAAUGGGUGGUACAGAGGGUUGCCAAACCGUGAGGUGGAGCUAAUCCCUUAAAGCCAUUCUCAGUUCGGAUUGUAGGCUGAAACUCGCCUACAUGAAGCUGGGGUUACUAGUAAUCGCAGAUCAGAAUGCUGCGGUGAAUGCGUUCCCGGGUCUUGUACACACCGCCCGUCACACCAUGGGAGUUGGGGGCGCCCGAAGCCGGUUAGCUAACCUUUUAGGAGGCAACCGUCGAAGGUGAAACCAAUGACUGGGGUGAAGUCGUAACAAGGUAACCGUA